This 422-nucleotide ribosomal RNA is filed under the name uncultured bacterium. RNAcentral's name for it is "bacterial SSU rRNA". It matches the Rfam family "Bacterial small subunit ribosomal RNA", at positions 355 to 774 of the family's 1533-position model. The record is from RNAcentral.
UGAGGAAUAUUGGUCAAUGGGGGCAACCCUGAACCAGCCAAGUCGCGUGAAGGAUGAAGGUCUUAUGGAUUGUAAACUUCUUUUACACGGGAAUAAAGUGGGGGACGUGUCCCCCUUUGCAUGUACCGUGUGAAUAAGGAUCGGCUAACCCCGUGCCAGCAGCCGCGGUAAUACGGAGGAUCCGAGCGUUAUCCGGAUUUAUUGGGUUUAAAGGGUGCGCAGGCGGGAUGUUAAGUCGGCGGUGAAAUUUUGCAGCUCAACUGUAAAAGUGCCUUCGAUACUGGCCUCCUUGAGUGUGGAUGAAGUAGGCGGAAUUUGUGGUGUAGCGGUGAAAUGCUUAGAUAUCACGAGGAACUCCGAUUGCGCAGGCAGCUUACUAAGCCACAACUGACGCUCAUGCACGAAGGCGUGGGGAUCAAACA